Molecule: ribosomal RNA, 536 nt
Filed under: uncultured bacterium
Lineage: Bacteria
Description: partial 16S ribosomal RNA
Rfam family: Bacterial small subunit ribosomal RNA
Source: RNAcentral
UGGGGAAUAUUGCACAAUGGGCGAAAGCCUGAUGCAGCAACGCCGCGUGAGUGAUGAAGGUCUUCGGAUUGUAAAGCUCUGUCUUUUGGGACGAUAAUGACGGUACCAAAGGAGGAAGCCACGGCUAACUACGUGCCAGCAGCCGCGGUAAUACGUAGGUGGCGAGCGUUGUCCGGAUUUACUGGGCGUAAAGGGUGCGUAGGCGGAUGUUUAAGUGAGAUGUGAAAUACCCGGGCUUAACUUGGGUGCUGCAUUUCAAACUGGAUAUCUAGAGUGCAGGAGAGGAGAAUGGAAUUCCUAGUGUAGCGGUGAAAUGCGUAGAGAUUAGGAAGAACACCAGUGGCGAAGGCGAUUCUCUGGACUGUAACUGACGCUGAGGCACGAAAGCGUGGGUAGCAAACAGGAUUAGAUACCCUGGUAGUCCACGCCGUAAACGAUGAGUACUAGGUGUAGGAGGUAUCGACCCCUUCUGUGCCGCAGUAAACACAUUAAGUACUCCGCCUGGGAAGUACGAUCGCAAGAUUAAAACUCAAAGU